Molecule: ribosomal RNA, 414 nt
Filed under: Patescibacteria group bacterium
Lineage: Bacteria
Description: bacterial SSU rRNA
Rfam family: Bacterial small subunit ribosomal RNA
Source: RNAcentral
ACGAGCGCAACCCCCGUCCCAUGUUAAAUGUUCAUGGGAGACCGCCUCGGAUAACGGGGAGGAAGGUGGGGAUGACGUCAAAUCAGCAUGGCUCUUACAUCUAGGGCUACACACGUGCUACAAUGGUAGAGAACAAAGGGUUGCCAAGCCGCAAGGCGGAGCUAAUCCCAACAAAAUCUACCUCAGUUCGGAUUGGGGGCUGCAAUUCGCCCCCAUGAAGUUGGAUUUGCUAGUAACCGUGAAUCAGCCUCGUCACGGUGAAUACGUUCUCGGGUCUUGUACUCACUGCCCGUCAAGUCAAGAGAGUCGGAAACACCCGAAGGCUCCGUUGAGGGGACGAAGGUGGAGUCGAUAAUAAGGACUAAGUCGUAACAAGGCAUCCGUAGCGGAAGCUGUGGAUGGAUCACCUCCUUU